UGGUGUGAAGCGUAUCUCCGGUCUGAUCUACGAGGAGACCCGUGGAGUUCUCAAGAUCUUUUUGGAGAACGUGAUUCGUGAUUCAGUUACCUACACUGAGCAUGCUAGGAGGAAGACUGUUACUGCUAUGGAUGUUGUUUAUGCCCUCAAGAGGCAGGGAAGGACCCUCUAUGGAUUUGGUGGUUAGAUCAAUUGUUAGGUAGUAGAUGUACAUCUGCUGGAAAUUUCUGUUGUUUCUGUGUUCUUGUUUCGAUCUACUUCUUGGGUUCCAG
Molecule: long non-coding RNA, 272 nt
Filed under: Capsicum annuum
Lineage: Eukaryota; Viridiplantae; Streptophyta; Magnoliopsida; Solanales; Solanaceae
Description: long non-coding RNA (CANN_LNC009158)
Source: RNAcentral